This is a small nuclear RNA of Ictidomys tridecemlineatus (thirteen-lined ground squirrel), 107 nucleotides long. The record is from Ensembl. NCBI's taxonomy places the organism in Eukaryota, Metazoa, Chordata, Mammalia, Rodentia, Sciuridae.
CUGUUCGAUUUGGCAGCACAUAUACUAAAAUUGAAAUGAUACAGAGAAAAUUAGCAUGGCCCCUAUGCUAGGAUGGCAGGCAAAUUUGUGAAGCAUUCCAUAAUUUU